AUUGUGCGAUGAUUUCCGAGGCGGGAAGAUGUUGGAAAAUUUUACCUAGCGCAAGAAUCGUCCUUUGACCUGUUGAAAUAUAAUAUUUCAGACAAGCCAAGCAUGAUUUGGGAAAGAAACUUUGUUUCACAAUGCUUAGUAAGCAUGCUUGGUAAGCAGUUUGCUCAGCCAUGUCUGCGGUUAAAUUUGGCAGCUGUCGUGAUGAGACAUGUUAUACUUCAGUUUCGGUACGUCUCGCUAUAAAAACACUGAUCUGGUGUCAGCGGAAGUUCAGUUGUGCGUCUACUUCAACUGGUCGCUGUGAGUCAAUUUGCGCGUGAGCCGUCAAAGAUUAUGUCGGGAAGACCUACACCAAAUCCCCCUCCAGAUCCGCCACCACCGUCUCCGCCACGACCGUCUUCGCCAAAUGACGGUGGCUGUAUUCUAUUUUUCUUCUAGCCACUCAGUAUGAAAUGUUCGUAUUCGAGGCUGGUGGGCGUCCUGCGCUAUACUGUAACAAGGUUGAUGCAACAGUCAAUGAAAGACUCCAAAGAUGAGCUUUUUGGAAGAGAACUAAUGAAGCCCUUCACAAGGACUGAUGUGUUCCUUAUUCUCAAGUUUCUGGAAUUAUCUACAGUUUGGAAACGUUGCACACCUUUGAUAGACUGUUUUAUUCUUAUUAAGUAAAUGGUUGUAGGUUACUGAUCUUUGUAAGUUUGAGAAAGUUUUCGGUUUAAGAGUACAGUGCAUGAAAUGCUUAGUUUUUGGUUGAGUUUGUUACUUCGAUUGAAUUUGCGGAUUUUUUCAAGUACUCUGCGAUUUUUUACAUUUUUUGGCUUAGCGCUGUUUUAUUUUACUUGAUAAGAAAGCGAUGUAAUGCUUCAGUUACAAAUUCGCUCGUGGAUGGCGCAAAAAUGUAGAGGACUUAGAGGAGAUAGAGGCAAUAAACUUGACAUAGAAAGUGA
Molecule: long non-coding RNA, 944 nt
Organism: Pocillopora damicornis (cauliflower coral)
Lineage: Eukaryota; Metazoa; Cnidaria; Anthozoa; Scleractinia; Pocilloporidae
Source: RefSeq, a predicted model, not a curated record